RNA transcript from Capsicum annuum, 2748 nucleotides. It is a transcript of the gene named flavonoid 3'-monooxygenase CYP75B137, with no coding region annotated. The transcript has 3 exons. NCBI's taxonomy places the organism in Eukaryota, Viridiplantae, Streptophyta, Magnoliopsida, Solanales, Solanaceae. The record is from RefSeq and is a predicted model, not a curated record.
AAGGAAGAAAAAAGCAAAGAACACUACAUGUGGUGUACGAAUAAGCUAAGUUUUGUCUCUUACUGAAACCAUCAGCAUCAAGUGGAAUCCUCCCACUACAAGAGGCAUAAAACUUAAUACAGAUGGCUCAGCCAUAUAGCCAACCCAUGACCGGGGGGUUGGGAGGUGUGUUCCGAAAUAACAACGGGGAAUGGCUUCUAGGUUUUUACCACCAUAUUCCCCAUACUACCCCACCGUAUCAUGGCUGAACUCUUUGCCCUUAGAUGUGGCCUGAUUGUGGCCAAAGAACAAAACAUUAAAUCCUUUGAUGUUGAGAUGGACUCAGCUAUGGCUAUCAAUAUCUUAGCUAAUGAUCACCCCCUUUAUCAUAACAUUGUAUCUGAGUGCAGGACAUUACUGAAGGAGUUAGGAACAACAGCUUCAAUGCAAAUUUUCAAGGAGCAGAAUGCAAUAGUUGAUUGUUUAGUAAAGGAAGGAACCAGGACGGAGUUUUUGGGAAGAACUACCAUUAUCACGCAUGUACCCCUUUUGCUGUCAAUUUAGUUAGGAACAAUUGCUUAGGCAAGACUUUUAAUCGCAUCGUGAAACAUUCGAACAUUAACCUACUGGGUUGGGAUGUGGCCUUGAACAAUCCCUUUUUGGCUCCUACUUGUGAUAGGAGCACUAACCCACCCCUCCCCCUUAAUGAUCAACGACAUCAUUAUCUUUUUCACCAAAAAAAAAUAAAAAUUGAUAGACGAGGGAGAAAUAUCACAAAACUAUAGUUGUAUGUAUUAUUUUAUUAUAUUUUUUUAAUUUAUAUAUUGAUGUAAGAUGACUAAAAUACAUAUAAUUAUAAUUUCAUGCACUAUUACACAUGUACUAGACAUCACAUUAGAAACAAACAAACAAAAAAUCAAUUUUCUUUUUAAUGGUGGCAAAAGGUUCAACUUUCCCACCACAUUGCUUCUCCCAUUUUCCAUUUCCAUCAAAUAAUGUCUCUCAAAUUCUUCAAAUCUCUCUUUGAUUCUUUCCCAUGGCCCCUUCAAGAACUCAACAUUGAGCAAAAGGGUGUCUUGUUUUCCUAUUUUCUUGGUCUUUUGGCUUUACUAUACUUCCUUUGGCUUCUCAUCAACAAGUCAAAAAAUGGACAACAACUACCAUUGCCACCAGGACCUAAACCUUUGCCUUUGAUAGGUAAUCUCCAUUCUCUUGAUCCUGAACUCCACAUAUAUUUUCCAUCUCUAUCCAAAACUUAUGGCCCCAUUUGUACACUUUGGCUUGGUAAAAAAGUUGGGAUUGUUAUUACAUCCCCUGCAUUAGCUCGCGAGGUACUUAAGGAUCAAGAUACCAUAUUUGCUAAUAGAGAUGUACCUGCUGCUGGUAGAGAAGCUACAUAUGGUGGCAAAGACAUAGUUUGGACUCCUUAUGGACCUAAAGGGCGCAUGUUGAGGAAGAUUUGUGUUCGGGAUAUGCUUAGUGCUUCUAUCUUGGAUUCUGUUUAUGCACUACGGAGAAGGGAGCUUAGACAAACGAUCAAUUACUUUUAUAAUCAAGUAGGAUCGCCUGUGAAUAUUGGUGAACAGAUGUUCUUGACCAUGCUUAAUGUGAUUACAAACAUGUUAUGGGGUGGCACAAUAAAGGGUGAGGAAAGAGCUAGUCUUGGAGCUGAGUUUAGGCAUGCUGUGUCUGAUUUGACUGGGCUGUUGGGUACUCCAAAUGUUUCUGAUUUUUACCCAGGCUUGUCCUGGUUUUAUUUGCAGGGUGUUACUAAGAAGAUGAAGGUGUUGGUAAAGAGCUUUGAUAACAUAUUUGAGAGCAUGAUUGAGCAAAGACAAAAAUUGGAUAGAAAUGGUGUUGGCCAAGAAAGCAAGGACUUUUUGCAAGUUUUGCUGAAGUUGAAAGAUGAAGCAGAUGCCAAAAUGCCCCUGUCUAUGACUGAACUCAAAGCACUACUUAUGGAUAUGGUUACAGGUGGAACUGACACAACCUCCAACGCGGUUGAGUUUGCCAUGGCUGAAAUUACGAACAAACCAGACGUCAUGAGGAAAUUACAACAAGAGCUAGAGACAGUUGUGGGAAAAGAUAAUAUUGUGGAAGAGUCUCAUAUUCAGCAAUUACCAUAUCUCUAUGCAGUUAUGAAAGAAGUCUUGCGCAUACACCCAACUCUUCCACUCUUGGUGCCGCAUUGUCCUAGUGAGACAUGCGCUGUGGGAGGAUACACUGUUCCUAAAGGAUCUCGUGUUUUCAUAAAUGUAUGGGCUAUACAGAGAGAUCCUUCUAUCUGGAAAAAUCCAACUGAGUUCCAUCCGGAGAGAUUCUUGGACGGUAAAUGGGACUAUAGUGGAAAUGAUUUCAGUUACUUUCCGUUUGGUUCUGGCAGAAGAAUCUGCGCGGGAAUAGCCAUGGCAGAGAGGAUGUUCAUGUAUUCACUAGCUUCGCUCAUUCAUUCUUUCGACUGGAAGUUGCCUGAAGGAGAGACAUUAGAUCUUACGGAGAAGUUUGGUAUUGUUUUGAAGAAGAAAGUGCCUCUAGUGGCUCUACCUGUUCCGAGAUUAUCUAAUCCAACACUCUAUGAGUAAGAUAAAGAUGCGUCUCUAUCCUGGCAAUGGUCUUAUGAACAACUCAAAGUUCCAUGUGAAAUGGAUAUGGUUGUCGCUGGAACUGACACAACCUCCAACACUGUUGAGUUUGCCAUGGCUGAAAUUAUGAACAAACCAGACGUGCUGAGGAAAUUACAGCAAGAACUAGAGAUAGUUGUGGGAAAAG